Molecule: ribosomal RNA, 460 nt
Filed under: uncultured bacterium
Lineage: Bacteria
Description: partial 16S ribosomal RNA
Rfam family: Bacterial small subunit ribosomal RNA
Source: RNAcentral
CCUACGGGAGGCAGCAGUGAGGAAUAUUGGUCAAUGGACGAGAGUCUGAACCAGCCAAGUAGCGUGAAGGAUGACUGCCCUAUGGGUUGUAAACUUCUUUUAUAUGGGAAUAAAAUGUUCCACGUGUGGGAUUUUGUAUGUACCAUAUGAAUAAGGAUCGGCUAACUCCGUGCCAGCAGCCGCGGUAAUACGGAGGAUCCGAGCGUUAUCCGGAUUUAUUGGGUUUAAAGGGAGCGUAGGUGGAUUGUUAAGUCAGUUGUGAAAGUUUGCGGCGCAACUGUAAAAUUGCAGUUGAAACUGGCAGUCUUGAGUACAGUAGAGGUGUGCGGAAUUCGUGGUGUAGCGGUGAAAUGCUUAGAUAUCACGAAGAACUCCGAUUGCGAAGGCAGUUCACUGGACUGCAACUGACACUGAGGCUCGAAAGUGUGGGUAUCAAACAGGAUUAGAUACCCUAGUAGUC